UACAGAGGGGGCUAGCGUUGUUCGGAAUUACUGGGCGUAAAGGGCGCGUAGGCGGCCCGCUAAGUCGAACGUGAAAUCCCCGGGCUCAACCCGGGAACUGCGUCCGAUACUGGCAGGCUUGAAUCCGGGAGAGGGAUGUGGAAUUCCAGGUGUAGCGGUGAAAUGCGUAGAUAUCUGGAGGAACACCGGUGGCGAAGGCGGCGUUCUGGACUGUAUCUGACACUGAGGAGCGAAAGCGUGGGGAGCGAACAGG
This 253-nucleotide ribosomal RNA is filed under the name uncultured bacterium. Its description in RNAcentral is "partial 16S ribosomal RNA". It matches the Rfam family "Bacterial small subunit ribosomal RNA", at positions 524 to 776 of the family's 1533-position model. The record is from RNAcentral.